Molecule: ribosomal RNA, 60 nt
Filed under: Colletotrichum truncatum
Lineage: Eukaryota; Fungi; Ascomycota; Sordariomycetes; Glomerellales; Glomerellaceae
Also listed under: 12 other names
Description: partial 28S ribosomal RNA
Source: RNAcentral
UUGACCUCGGAUCAGGUAGGAAUACCCGCUGAACUUAAGCAUAUCAAUAAGGCGGAGGAA